Molecule: ribosomal RNA, 399 nt
Filed under: uncultured bacterium
Lineage: Bacteria
Description: bacterial SSU rRNA
Rfam family: Bacterial small subunit ribosomal RNA
Source: RNAcentral
AACGAACGCUGGCGGCGUGGAUAAGACAUGCAAGUCGAACGGGACUUUUUUCGGUAGCAAUACUGAGAAUAGUUUAGUGGCGAACGGGUGCGUAACACGUGGGCAAUCUGCCGAGAAGUGGGGGAUAGCUCGCCGAAAGGCGAAUUAAUACCGCAUAUGAUCAGGGACGACAUCUUCCCAACAUCAAAGCCGGGGCAACCUGGCGCUUUUUGAGGAGCCCGCGGCCUAUCAGCUAGUUGGUGAGGUAACGGCCCACCAAGGCUUUGACGGGUAGCUGGUCUGAGAGGACGACCAGUCACACUGGAACUGAGACACGGUCCAGACACCUACGGGUGCAGCAGUCGAGAAUUUUUUCUCAAUGGGGAAAACCUGAAGGAGCGACGCCGCGUGGAGGAUGAA